UACGUAGGUGGCAAGCGUUGUCCGGAUUUACUGGGCGUAAAGAGCGCGCAGGCGGUCGGAUUAGUCGCGUGUGAAAGCCCCCGGCUCAACUGGGGAGGGUCACGCGAUACUGUUCGACUCGAAGGCAGGAGAGGGAAGUGGAAUUCCCGGUGUAGUGGUGAAAUGCGUAGAUAUCGGGAGGAACACCAGUGGCGAAGGCGACUUCCUGGCCUGUUCUUGACGCUGAGGCGCGAAAGCGUGGGGAGCAAACAGG
RNAcentral lists this ribosomal RNA (253 nucleotides) under uncultured bacterium. RNAcentral's name for it is "partial 16S ribosomal RNA". It matches the Rfam family "Bacterial small subunit ribosomal RNA", at positions 524 to 776 of the family's 1533-position model. The record is from RNAcentral.